This 504-nucleotide ribosomal RNA is filed under the name uncultured Sphingobacteriales bacterium. RNAcentral's name for it is "bacterial SSU rRNA". It matches the Rfam family "Bacterial small subunit ribosomal RNA", at positions 903 to 1382 of the family's 1533-position model. Lineage: Bacteria; Pseudomonadati; Bacteroidota; Sphingobacteriia; Sphingobacteriales. The record is from RNAcentral.
CGCCUUGCCAGCCCGCUCAGAAACUUAAAGGAAUUGACGGGGCCCGCACAAGCGGAGGAACAUGUGGUUUAAUUCGAUGAUACGCGAGGAACCUUACCUGGGCUCGAACGUAAGAUGACUGUAGGUGAAAGCUUACAUCUCUUCGGAGCAUUUUACGAGGUGCUGCAUGGUUGUCGUCAGCUCGUGCCGUGAGGUGUCGGGUUAAGUCCCAUAACGAGCGCAACCCCUACCUUUAGUUGCCAUCAGGUUAAGCUGGGGACUCUAAAGGAACUGCCUACGCAAGUAGUGAGGAAGGCGGGGAUGACGUCAAAUCAGCACGGCCCUUACGUCCAGGGCUACACACGUGCUACAAUGGCCGAUACAGAGGGCAGCUACCUGGUGACAGGAUGCAAAUCUCCAAAGUCGGUCUCAGUUCGGAUCGGAGUCUGCAACCCGACUCCGUGAAGUUGGAUUCGCUAGUAAUCGCGCAUCAGCCAUGGCGCGGUGAAUACGUUCCCGGGCCUU